Molecule: long non-coding RNA, 351 nt
Organism: Notolabrus celidotus (New Zealand spotty)
Lineage: Eukaryota; Metazoa; Chordata; Actinopteri; Labriformes; Labridae
Exons: 2
Source: RefSeq, a predicted model, not a curated record
UCUACAUCUCAUGUCAGGUUUAUGUUUGUGACCCCCCACUGACAAACUAAUGGGUGAGCCGUUGCCUCUCUGCCUGAGCUGAUGUGCUGUCUUGAAAGGAGCUACAUGGUGGACUAAGCCUGCAGGGAUGCAAUUGAAACGGUAUCAAAUGCUGUUGCUAGCAGACACCGGUUGUGGUCCACGGAUUGGGUGGAGAAGGAGAAGAAAGUGAUGUGUGCCAGAACUGACUUCAGACCGGAGUUAAGGAGCAACAGAGAGAUUUGAUUGAUGCUCGGAACGUAUGUGAAACAGGCCUGUUGAAAAUAUGCAUAAUAAUAAAAAAUAAUGAGGACAAAGAGACGAUUCAAACAC